GGAGAGUAGGGAGCAUGGUUGCUCAAGCGGUCUUGAAAACCGUCCCAUUGCGCAAGCGAUGAUGGUUCGAUUCCAUUACUCUCCGCCA
RNAcentral lists this transfer RNA (88 nucleotides) under Escherichia coli. RNAcentral describes it as "tRNA-Ser". It matches the Rfam family "Selenocysteine transfer RNA". The record is from RNAcentral. RNAcentral also lists the same sequence under 1 other name. Lineage: Bacteria; Pseudomonadati; Pseudomonadota; Gammaproteobacteria; Enterobacterales; Enterobacteriaceae.